This 393-nucleotide ribosomal RNA is filed under the name uncultured bacterium. RNAcentral's name for it is "bacterial SSU rRNA". It matches the Rfam family "Bacterial small subunit ribosomal RNA", at positions 521 to 916 of the family's 1533-position model. The record is from RNAcentral.
UAAUACGGAGGGUGCAAGCGUUAUCCGGAUUCACUGGGUUUAAAGGGUGCGUAGGCGGAUUGGGAAGUCCGUGGUGAAAUCCCCGAGCUUAACUCGGGAACUGCCGUGGAUACUCUCAGUCUUGAAUAUCGUGGAGGUAAGCGGAAUAUGUCAUGUAGCGGUGAAAUGCUUAGAGAUGACAUAGAACACCAAUUGCGAAGGCAGCUUACUACACGGUCAUUGACGCUGAGGCACGAAAGCGUGGGGAUCAAACAGGAUUAGAUACCCUGGUAGUCCACGCCCUAAACGAUGAUUACUCGACAUACGCGAUACACUGUGUGUGUCUGAGCGAAAGCAUUAAGUAAUCCACCUGGGAAGUACGACCGCAAGGUUGAAACUCAAAUGAAUUGACGG